Molecule: non-coding RNA, 253 nt
Organism: Vicia faba (fava bean)
Lineage: Eukaryota; Viridiplantae; Streptophyta; Magnoliopsida; Fabales; Fabaceae
Source: the annotation of a GenBank genome assembly
AUGAUUUUCUAUUUUUUUUUCUCCUUUGCCAAUUUUUGCUUUAACUCCUUCCCCUUUGAACUGGAAUUUUCUUUCCCCUUUAAUUUUGUUCCUCAUUUUCUUUCAUCAGCUGUUACUGAAUCGGAGCUUGAGUUUAAUUUUGAAAUUCUUUUCUUCUCCCUCCAUAGUCACAUCCAGAAAAUGCAAGCAUAUCCGGUUCAAAUCUCAAAUGCAAUGCAGGUAAACCAAUUAACAUUAAAGAUCUUUGAAAAUU